GAUGAACGCUGGCGGCGUGCCUAAUACAUGCAAGUCGAGCGAACAGACGAGGAGCUUGCUCCUUUGACGUUAGCGGCGGACGGGUGAGUAACACGUAGGUAACCUACCUAUAAGACUGGGAUAACUUCGGGAAACCGGAGCUAAUACCGGAUAAUAUUUCGAACCGCAUGGUUCGAUAGUGAAAGAUGGCUUUGCUAUCACUUAUAGAUGGACCUGCGCCGUAUUAGCUAGUUGGUAAGGUAACGGCUUACCAAGGCAACGAUACGUAGCCGACCUGAGAGGGUGAUCGCCCACACUGGAACUGAGACACGGUCCAGACUCCUACGGGAGGCAGCAGUAGGGAAUCUUCCGCAAUGGGCGAAAGCCUGACGGAGCAACGCCGCGUGAGUGAUGAAGGUCUUCGGAUCGUAAAACUCUGUUACUAGGGAAGAACAAACGUGUAAGUAACUGUGCACGUCUUGACGGUACCUAAUCAGAAAGCCACGGCUAACUACGUG
Molecule: ribosomal RNA, 497 nt
Filed under: uncultured bacterium
Lineage: Bacteria
Description: partial 16S ribosomal RNA
Rfam family: Bacterial small subunit ribosomal RNA
Source: RNAcentral